This 478-nucleotide ribosomal RNA is filed under the name uncultured bacterium. RNAcentral describes it as "bacterial SSU rRNA". It matches the Rfam family "Bacterial small subunit ribosomal RNA", at positions 501 to 981 of the family's 1533-position model. The record is from RNAcentral.
CUACGUGCCAGCAGCCGCGGUAAUACGGAAGGUCCAGGCGUUAUCCGGAUUUAUUGGGUUUAAAGGGAGCGUAGGCGGACGAUUAAGUCAGCUGUGAAAGUUUGCGGCUCAACCGUAAAAUUGCAGUUGAAACUGGUUGUCUUGAGUGCACGCAGGGAUGUUGGAAUUCAUGGUGUAGCAGUGAAAUGCUUAGAUAUCAUGAAGAACUCCGAUCGCGAAGGCAUAUGUCCGGAGUGCAACUGACGCUGAGGCUCGAAAGUGCGGGUAUCGAACAGGAUUAGAUACCCUGGUAGUCCGCACAGUAAACGAUGAAUACUCGCAGUAUGCGAUAUAAUGUAUGCUGCCAAGUGAAAACGUUAAGUAUUCCACCUGGGGAGUACGCCGGCAACGGUGAAACUCAAAGGAAUUGACGGGGGCCCGCACAAGCGGAGGAACAUGUGGUUUAAUUCGAUGAUACGCGAGGAACCUUACCCGGGCU